AAUGAACGCUGGCGGCGCGCCUAAUACAUGCAAGUCGAGCGAGAAGACGUAGCAAUACGUUUGUAAAGCGGCGAACGGGGUGAGGAAUACAUGGGUAACCUACCCUCGAGUGGGGAAUAACUAGCCGAAAGGUUAGCUAAUACCGCGUACGCUCCUUGGACUUCGGUUCAGGGAGGAAAGCGAUACCGUGGGUAUCGCGCUCUUGGUUGGGCUCAUGUCCUAUCAGCUUGUUGGUGAGGUAACGGCUCACCAAGGCUUCGACGGGUAGCUGGUCUGAGAGGACGAUCAGCCACACUGGCACUGCGACACGGGCCAGACUCCUACGGGAGGCAGCAGUAAGGAAUAUUGCGCAAU
Molecule: ribosomal RNA, 354 nt
Filed under: uncultured bacterium
Lineage: Bacteria
Description: bacterial SSU rRNA
Rfam family: Bacterial small subunit ribosomal RNA
Source: RNAcentral